CCUACGGGAGGCAGCAGUAGGGAAUAUUGCACAAUGGAGGAAACUCUGAUGCAGCGAUGCCGCGUGAGUGAAGAAGGCCUUUGGGUUGUAAAGCUCUUUCGUCGGGGAAGAAAAUGACUGUACCCGAAUAAGAAGGUCCGGCUAACUUCGUGCCAGCAGCCGCGGUAAUACGAAGGGACCUAGCGUAGUUCGGAAUUACUGGGCUUAAAGAGUUCGUAGGUGGUUAAAAAAGUUGGUUGUGAAAUCCCGAAGCUUAACUUCGGAACUGCAAUCAAAACUUUUUAGCUAGAGUAUGAUAGAGGAAAGCAGAAUUUCUAGUGUAGAGGUGAAAUUCGUAGAUAUUAGAAAGAAUACCAAUUGCGAAGGCAGCUUUCUGGAUCAUUACUGACGCUGAGGAACGAAAGCAUGGGUAGCGAAGAGGAUUAGAUACCCUCGUAGUCCAUGCCGUAAACGAUGUGUGUUAGACGUUGGAAAUUAAUUUUCAGUGUCGCAGCGAAAGCAGUAAACACACCGCCUGGGGAGUACGACCGCAAGGUUAAAACUCAAAUGAAUUGACGG
This 558-nucleotide ribosomal RNA is filed under the name uncultured bacterium. Its description in RNAcentral is "bacterial SSU rRNA". It matches the Rfam family "Bacterial small subunit ribosomal RNA", at positions 338 to 916 of the family's 1533-position model. The record is from RNAcentral.